Molecule: transfer RNA, 89 nt
Filed under: Treponema sp.
Lineage: Bacteria; Pseudomonadati; Spirochaetota; Spirochaetia; Treponematales; Treponemataceae
Description: tRNA-Sec
Rfam family: Selenocysteine transfer RNA
Source: RNAcentral
GGAAGCUGAUGGGGUCUGGUGGCUCUCGCGGUCUUCAAAACCGCUGGCCGCGCCUGGCGCGGCGGCAGGUUCGAUUCCUGCCUCUUCCG